This is a long non-coding RNA of Apodemus sylvaticus (European woodmouse), 3925 nucleotides long. RefSeq lists it as uncharacterized. The record is from RefSeq and is a predicted model, not a curated record. The transcript has 6 exons. NCBI's taxonomy places the organism in Eukaryota, Metazoa, Chordata, Mammalia, Rodentia, Muridae.
CCUCAAAGUAUCCAGAGGAAACCAACCCAACCAACACCUUUUUACUUAAGACUUCUGACCUUCAGAACUGUGAGAAGGCCCCUAAAGCCCCUCAAAUUUGGAAAGCUCAAGUCAAUAUGAAUUAAAGAUCAAAUACACAAGAAAUCCAGACUACUUCUCUUGGUGAAGAAGAAGAGCUGUCUAGAGACUUGCUCAAGCGGAAGUCACUUCUCACACUGCCCUAUGCCGUCAGGCCUUCUGUGCACACAAGCAAUUGCCUGGAUCAAUAUCACCAGCUCCUGAAGAGUCCUGCUGCACAGGCAAUCCACUCUGUUCCUCUCCUCGGCAAGAACCCAGUUCAAGUCCCAGAACAGGAAGCACUGCUGGCUACAGUGUAAAGUGCUACAUGGAAUCUACGCAUUGCUGAAGAACCAAAGCUUUUGGUUUACAAGAUGUUCUUUUGAGAGUAAAGCCCAUCAGCCAAGAAAGAUGUCUGGAUGGGGAGACGCCCCAGCAGUUACAGCACUUGCAUGAAUCCAAGCACGAGGACCUGAGUUCAGAUCCCCAUAAAGAACCAGCCACAGCAGGACACAUCUCUCACUGCAGCAAGCCUACAGGGACACGGGAGGAGGGAAUGAAACAAUCCCUGGAAAUCAUAUCUGUGGUCUUGACUUUUUCCUACACUCAUCAGCUGUGCUGGCUCUCCACAGUCUCCAUCAUUGUGAGAAUCCACCUGCUCUCCCUGGGAGAAGAAGCCAAUGGCUCCCAUGCCAGGCUCUUUGGGGAUCAUCUCUCUGCUUGGAGAGCCUCCUCUGCUCCAGCCCCUGAAGUAGAAAGCUGCUAUUUAACCAAAUACACAGGCUAACAACUGGGAUUAAAUGACCUCAAAGGUAAAAAUCUCUGCCUCCAGCAAACAGAGUUACCAAUUAGGCUUCAUUGUCAAGCCAUGUGUACUCUAUAAAAACAGGUUAAGCCAUGGUGAGAACGUGCUGUGCUUACACAGCUGUCUAGGAUAAAUUAGCGAGGGUAUGUCUGGGAUAGGUGAAUGUUUUGAUUAAGCCAGUUCUCUCUAACUCCCACAUACCAUACAUGUGUCUACUUGCACCCUUGAGUAAUUAAGAAUAUGCUAAAGAAAAGAAACUACAAAUGAAUACAUGUUCUUUUUACUGAUCUGUCUGCUGGAAAUUUCUUCAUGUGAUUUUUCUGGAGCAAAAUAUUUUAGUAGUACAAUGUGUAGCCAUGGAAAGUAACCCUCUCUAUUACCCCAUUCCCCAGGCUAAGACACUUUUAAUGAAGCAUUUUAGCUCUAAUGGAGAACUUCUUAAAGCCAGAUCAAAACUAAUAAUCAGUGUGUCCAAGAAGUGACUGGGUUUUAAAAGAAGGGGCAGUGUGAGCUGUCCUUAGGCAGCAGAAGGUCUCUCCUAAAAUCAUCAACAUCAGAGCUCCAGAACCAGAAGUCUUGUCUACGAAUCAAAACCCUGUCUCAAAAACACAGCAACAACAACAAAAAUAACUUUUGGAAUUCACUUAGAAUUAUCCUUACUGAUAAAAUUACAACUAUAAAAGAGAUAAUUAUUUUAAGUGUAGAAAAUUAUUCAGGAAAAAAUGUAUUCUAGAAUGCAACCCCGUGUUUAAGUAACUGUUUUGGAUAAUUUCUCCUUUGCCAUUAUUUAUACUUAGAUACAGACUGAGGAUUAGAAAUGAUCUUGUGGGUGCCUAUAAAAGACUUCCCGUGAAUGCAAUUUAUAAUCAUUAAAUGAUGUAUAUCCAUGCAAGCAGAAACACAACCAAGAUUAUUCAGAAAAAAAGACUCCUUUCUUGAAACUUUUGAACAUUAAAUAUGGAACUUUACAUGCAUACACAUUAUACAGCAACAUGUUUUAAGAAUAAGCAUGUAUUCCGUGAGUUUUACUGUAUGUAAACUCAAUGAGAAUGUAUUUUAAAAUAAAACAAGAAUUUUGUUCUUAGGAAUUGAUGUUUGGGCAUUAGCAAGAGAAUGCAAAACCCAAUUCUGCCAGUUCCCAAGAAUUCCCAGGGACAGCCUCAGCCAACAGUGUCAGCCAGGGAUAAAACUUGCUCAGAGGUAGUCCUCACACCUAAUGAGUCCAGGCUACAGGCAUGCCUUUAUUUUGGCUUGGUUUGAGAGUUUGGGGUUUGUUUUUUAUUGAAGUUUUCAUUUGUUUGUUUUUGCUGUGGGUCAAACUCAGGGCCUUGGAACUGAGAAGAAGAGAGAGACUCCUCAGCUUCACAGUUAGCCUCUCUCUGCCCUUAGCAAGUAUCUUUCCACGCUUCCUAACUGAAUGUUAUUUAAAAUUCUGUUUUGAUUACACACACUUUUUGUAUUUCAGGGAAAAAAAAAAACAAUAUUCUCCUGUGCAUGGUUUUAAUUCAUUUUCUGAAACAGAAGUUUAACAACAAACAGCAGAAACAGUUUUUAGGGGGAAACACAGAAAUUCAGGCAGACACUCUCUAAUGAGGAAUAUGGAUGUGGGAGUACUUGGGGAAACCAAGCUGUGGAGAGUUGCCUAAGAUUAUUCUUCAGUCUUCCUCAACCUCCCUUGGAUUUUCCAACAAUCCCUCCCACACCAGCCACACACACAAAGAGACCAACCUGUGAGGGGUACACAGCCUGGGGGGGGGGGGAGUUCAGGAUGCUGCUCUUUACCCAGUUUCUGCACGGGCAGCUGGUUAGCAGCACUCACUGUGAGGACCUUAGUGGCAGCCCAGGGUGCUCUCCCUAGGGCUGCUGUUGAGCUCAGAUUUGAACCCUGGUGUAGCUUUAAAAUGUCCAGUGUCUGAGUUUGGCCCAUUUUCUCCCAGGAAAACUUUCAUGUUCCCUAAAACAACCUCCUCUGACCUAUGGUAACCUGUCAGUAGAUGUCCAUAGGAAAACCAUCUGCCUAAAGGACUCGUGGGAGCAGGGGCUUCAGACAGGCAGAACUGCACCCCAACCCAGACAGCACAGUCAGCCAUGGUGGCUUCGUGCACUUAAGAGAACAAAGUUAAGGACUUGGCAGCGAGUUGAUGUAGCAAACACUCAAAAGAACCCAUUUUCCAUGCUAGAAAAAUGUCCUGGCCACUUCAUAAACAGCCACACAUGUAGUUUUGCUGGUUAGCCGGUGCCCGGGCUCUUGUCCCAGACAGAGUUAGAUGAUGGAGAAAUACUAGAAAUGCAACCAUACUGAGAGACCUAAGGGAUUUACUGGGGGACACCACAGUGGGUUUUAUGGGGCACAUAGUAUCCAGCACUAGGAUCCUGAAGCACCUCAGCACAAGUUCCUUUAGGCCACGCAGAAGCAGUAGAGUGUGGUUUUCUGAUCAAGCAGUGAGGGUGUACCAAACACUCCAACAGGACCGGAAGAAACCGUGAGUUCCCGUGAUGCUCAGCUUAGCUUUCUGAGGAACCAUUACAAUAACUUUCCCAAAGAGGAAGGACUGUUGAAAUGAAAACAGAGAUAAUAAGCUUUUAGGGACAAUGACUGAUAAAGCCCAAUCUCCCAAAUAACCCACUCUGCUGUGGCCACAGGAAUCCCAGCCUCUGCCUGGUGGGGAGGCCUUGACGUGCUGGGCUGGAGCGCCCCCUUCUGGCCACAGCCUUCAGUGACACCAAGUUCUGAGGCCAGAGUCUCUCAGGUGAGAGAGAUUAUCUAAAAUGUCACCAUUUUGUCCUGGAUUUCCUGGAUGUUUUGGAUUAAGAAUUCUUUAUGUUUUGAAUUUUCUUUGACAGUUGUGUCAACAUCUUCUAAGGUAUCUUCCACACCUGAGAUUCUCUCUUCUAUCUCUUGUGUAGGUGAUCCUUAAUUCCUGACCUCUUUCUUUAAAGAAAAAAAGGAAAAUAAGAGUUAGCUAUCAAUCCAUCACCAAAGACCAUUUUUAACAUCAUUUGGUAUGUAUCAUUUUUACAUAGUUGAGAUCGUGCCUUGCGGCAGUCAUUUUCCAUCUACUU